RNAcentral lists this ribosomal RNA (266 nucleotides) under uncultured archaeon. RNAcentral's name for it is "partial 16S ribosomal RNA". It matches the Rfam family "Archaeal small subunit ribosomal RNA", at positions 717 to 982 of the family's 1478-position model. The record is from RNAcentral.
ACACGACUACAUUAGAUACCCUGUAGUCCUAGGCGUAAAUGAUGCCGAGGUUAAAGUGUGGGGGCAUCUACGAGAUGGCCCUGUGCUGUAGGGUAGCCGUUAAACUCGCUGCCUGGGGAGUACGGUCGCAAGGCUGAAACUUAAAGGAAUUGCGGGGGAGCACCACAACGGGUGGAGCCUGCGGUUUAAUUGGACUCAACGCCGGAAAUCUCACCAGAUAGGACAGACAUAUGAUAGUCGGGCUGAAGACUCUACUUGAUGAUCUG